This 2198-nucleotide unclassified non-coding RNA is filed under the name uncultured fungus. Its description in RNAcentral is "sequence contains 18S rRNA gene, ITS1, 5.8S rRNA gene, ITS2, 28S rRNA gene". The record is from RNAcentral. Lineage: Eukaryota; Fungi.
CCCGGCCGCUCGUCGACGUGCACCUUCAAGGAGGCCGGCUUUCCGAGGAGAUCGAGAACCUUGCCGGCGAUGUCGGAGACCGUGAUGUCGACCCCGGUCGCGAUGUUGAUCACCUCACCGACCACCUUGUCGUCGUCGGCGGCGAUGAUCGCCUCGACCGCCUCGGCGUCGUCGUCUACGUACAACCAGUCGCGGCUCGCGUGCCCGUCUCCGUGAAUGGUGAGCGGCUCCCCGAGAGCGCCUGGGUGAUGAAGCGCGGGAUCACCUUCUCGGGAUGCUGCCGGGGGCCGAAGUUGUUGAACGGCCGGACGAUCACGAUCGGGAGGCCGUACGUGACGAAAUACGAGUACGCGAGGCGAUCCGCGCCCGCCUUCGUCGCCGCAUAGGGACUACGCGGGUUCAGCGGAUGCUCCUCGUCCAUCGGCGCGUACAGCGCCGUGCCGUAGACCUCGCUCGACGAGAAGAGGAUGAAGCGCUCGACAGGGGUUUCGCGAAUCGCGUCGAGGAGGAUCUGCGUGCCCUCGACGUUCGUCGUCACGAACUCUGACGCGCCUGCCUCGAUCGACUUCUCGACGUGAGACUCCGCGGCCGCGUUCACGAUCACGUCGACCUCGGCCACGACUUCCCGGACGAGGUCGGGGUCGCGGAUGUCGCCGUGCACGAAGGAGUGCCGUUCGUGGCCGGUCGCGUCGGUGAGGUUGUCCAUGCUCCCCGCGUAGGUGAGCGCGUCCAGGGAAACGACCUCGUACGGGGUCGUCUCGAGGAUGUGGCGCACGAAGUUCGACGGGAUGAAUCCCGCGCCGCCCGUGACGAGAACCCGCUUCGCCUUCACGGCUCGGAAGCCUACCCGCGCAGACUAGUCUCUCCGGCCGUGACGAAGUUCGUCAUCCUCUCCACGCAGCGCAGCGGCUCGACCUGGGUCGUCGACAUGCUGAACAGUCACCCGCGCGUGCUUGCUCAGUCCGAGCUCUUCAUGCACGGGGGCGAAGGGCACCCGAAAUGGGGCGGGGAUCGCGACCUUCUCUACUGGCAGACGUUCAUCGCCGACAAGGGCGGCGGCCGUCUCGUGCGACCGUACUGGCUCUGGCACUACCUCGGCCGCGCAUUCGCGGCGCGUCCAGGGGUCGACGCAGUCGGGUUCAAGCUGAUGUACAGCCAGCUGACCCGGAUCAGCAAGCCGCUCAUGCCGGCCCUGUGGCUGAAACGCGCGCGAAUCAUCCACCUGAUGCGGCGGAACGCCUUGGACGUCGUUCUCUCCAAGGAGGCAGGCGAGGCCAGGCAAGGUGUCUUGCACGCCCGUGACGGCCAAGAGGUCGAGGCCGUGCGCCUCCGGCUCGACACGGACACGCUCGUGCGGCGGCUGACGCUGCACGAGCGCGCGAUCGCCGGUGCUCGGGUUCGCUUCAAGCGGGUCGGGGUGCCGUACCGCGAGGUCGUCUACGAGGACCUCGUGGAGAGCGAGCAGGCGGGCUUCGACGAGCUCUUCCGCUUCCUCGGAGUCGAGCCACAGCGAGUCUCGUCGUCACUGCAAAAGGUCAACCCGACGGCCCACGAAGAGCUGAUCGAGAACUACGGCGAGGUCCGCGACGCCCUCGAGGGCACGCCCUUCGCCGGCCAGCUCCGCUAACACUUUCCUAAUGGGGCCUGGCCCCGUAAACCUUUACAGGGCCUGGCCCUGUUCGGGGAGCUCGCGGUCGAUGGAGUAGAGCGGGCGGCCCUCGACCUCGCGCUGGAUGCGGCCGAGAUACUCGCCGACGAGCGCCAGGAUGAAGCCCUGCAUGCCCAGGACGAAGAUCACGCCCACUCCUCCGAAGAGCGGGCCGGGGAAGUUCGAGCGGUCGAUCCAGUAGAAGACGCCGUACGCACCAAGCACGAGCGCGGCGGUCGUGCACAGCACGCCGAGCGCGACGCCGAUCCACUGGAUCGGCUGCGGCCAGAAGCCCGCGAGGACGUGGAGCGCGAGCCGCGUCAGGCGAAGCGGCGAGUAGCGCGAGCUACCGGCGCGAGGCGAGUGCUCUACUGGAACCUCGACGACGCUCGCUCCUCCCGAGAGCACGAGCGCCUUCGUGAACUUCUGCCGGCCGAUCGAGCCCAGCAUCGGCUCGAUCGCGCUUCGCCGGUACGCGUUGAACGCACAGCCGAAGUCGGCGAUCUUGACACCCGUGAAGCGCCGGAGCAUGCCGUUGAUGACGCGGGAC